AUUGAACACUGGCGGCAUGCUUUACACAUGCAAGUCGAACGGUAACAGGCCGCAAGGUGCUGACGAGUGGCGAACGGGUGAGUAAUGCAUCGGAACGUGCCCAGUCGUGGGGGAUAACUACUCGAAAGAGUAGCUAAUACCGCAUACGAUCUAUGGAUGAAAGCGGGGGACCGUAGGGCCUCGCGCGAUUGGAGCGGCCGAUGUCAGAUUAGGUAGUUGGUGGGGUAAAGGCUCACCAAGCCAACGAUCUGUAGCUGGUCUGAGAGGACGACCAGCCACACUGGGACUGAGACACGGCCCAGACUCCUACGGGAGGCAGCAGUGGGGAAUUUUGGACAAUGGGCGCAAGCCUGAUCCAGCAAUGCCGCGUGCAGGAAGAAGGCCUUCGGGUUGUAAACUGCUUUUGUACGGAACGAAACGGCUCUGGUUAAUACCCGGGGCUAAUGACGGUACCGUAAGAAUAAGCACCGGCUAACUACGUG
Molecule: ribosomal RNA, 482 nt
Filed under: uncultured bacterium
Lineage: Bacteria
Description: partial 16S ribosomal RNA
Rfam family: Bacterial small subunit ribosomal RNA
Source: RNAcentral